Molecule: ribosomal RNA, 440 nt
Filed under: uncultured bacterium
Lineage: Bacteria
Description: partial 16S ribosomal RNA
Rfam family: Bacterial small subunit ribosomal RNA
Source: RNAcentral
CCUACGGGUGGCUGCAGUGGGGAAUAUUGCACAAUGGGGGAAACUCUGAUGCAGCGAAGCCGCGUGAGCGAUGAAGUAUUUCGGUAUGUAAAGCUCUAUCAGCAGGGAAGAAAAUGACGGUACCUGACUAAGAAGCCCCGGCUAACUACGUGCCAGCAGCCGCGGGAAUACGUAGGGGGCACGCGUUAUCCGGAUUUACUGGGUGUAAAGGGAGUGUAGACGGCGAUGCAAGCCAGAUGUGAAAGCCCGGGGCUCAACCCCGGGACUGCAUUUGGAACUGUAUAGCUUGAGUGUCGGAGAGGCAGGCGGAAUUCCUAGUGUAGCGGUGAAAUGCGUAGAUAUUAGGAGGAACACCAGUGGCGAAGGCGGCCUGCUGGACGAUGACUGACGUUGAGGCUCGAAAGCGUGGGUAGCAAACAGGAUUAGAUACCCUGGUAGUC